GUCAGUCUGACAUCACUAAUUUCAAAGUUCCUUUUCGCGUUUAGUCUGCGGUCGCCCAGUGAAAGUUAUUGCAAUUUGCUACAGUUAUACUGUCUCAUUCAGAGUGCAAUAGAAUCUUUCUUUACCGAUUAAAAAAACUUAACUAGCUGUGCUAGAGUAAACACCAUCAAAUUUGUGACGUCGCGACGAGCUAGUGCGGAAAAUUCGAGAUGGCGUCGCCAGAUGACUUUCGCAUCUUUCUGGUUUACGAAGCCUACUUGUUCGGUUAGAGUGACUUCGUUUUUUUGGUAUUGCAGAAGGCUCUCUUACAUUUACAGCCAAAAUCAUCUUGAUAUUUAGUGUCUCUCAAAGCUUCGUCUAAAGAAGAGACGCGGCAUAUCGCAGCGUGUGUUGGAAAGUUUUAACCAUACAGCGGCACACAAGACAAGCUAAUCAUCAGCGUCGAUGUGCCUUACGUGGUGGUCUAGCGGAUAUGACGUUCUGCAGCCGACCAGACGGUGGCGCAUUCAAUCCCCUGCAACGGCGGCCCCAUUCCGAUGCAGACGAAACACAAAAAGCAAAAAAGAAAAAAAGAAAAAAGGAAGAUUUAGGUGCACCUUAAAAAACCCCUGGUGGUCAAAAUUAAUCCGGAACAAUCUUCAUCACGGCCUCCCUCAUAGCACACUGGGCUGUUUCGGAAUGUCAAAGCACCGUAUUUAAUUUCGGCCUUGGUGUAGCGGUCCUCCACAACACCAGUCUGUACGCUAAAUCAGCGUUGCCUAAAUUGACGGAUGUUUUCCGACCUGUGACCAUGCUUCAGAGAUCCUGGCAAAUCGUAGGUAACGUGUCGGUAUCACCUCAAUCUUUGCAGUCGCCCCAGUGCUUGUACUUGCAUAGAAAUAUUGCGUAGUAUUUGAAAUAGAAAUACAGUGCUUGCACUUGCAUAGGAAUAUUGCAUAGUAUUGGAAAUGAAAAUACAGGGAUAUUUGAGGAAAGCGGCAGCCGGUAACUCCCCAGUAACUGCUGACUACGUACUAAUGAAAAAAAAAACUCCCUGAUCAUCGUUCAAGUAAAAUUACGUGUUGUUCGUUGAUGCUACCCGUUGUUGUUUUAUCGUACUCGCAGUUUCUCAAUACAAGCGAACCAAUAUGGACGUACAAGACAACGACCACACAGCGAGGAUAUGACUGCAAUGUGGACGUAAUUGAUAACAUAAACAAUAAUUACGUCCUCUUUCGGAGAUUUCUUGGCUACAGAAAAGUUAUAAUCAGCGACUUCCAGCAGUUUCUCGAAGGUUACCUCUGGUAUAGCAGAUCUCCAGAUGAUCCGAAAAGCCAGGUCUAUAAUGCCCUGAACGUGAGCUUUCGGGGUGCUACUCCUUCUAGCAGGGAAAUAUUAUUAUACCAAAGGGCAGACAACGAGUGUGGUGUAGUUGCUGUUUAUGAUCUGGUGAAUGGUAAGUAUGCGUUCAAUUCGUAGCGUAACUUAUUGCAAUACUGUGAAAAGAAUUAUUGCGGGCACAUUUCGCAACAUUUAAAUUUAGGCUCGCCGAA
This is a long non-coding RNA of Dermacentor andersoni, 1532 nucleotides long. RefSeq lists it as uncharacterized. The record is from RefSeq and is a predicted model, not a curated record. Lineage: Eukaryota; Metazoa; Arthropoda; Arachnida; Ixodida; Ixodidae.